RNAcentral lists this non-coding RNA (92 nucleotides) under Sulfuritalea hydrogenivorans sk43H. RNAcentral's name for it is "Burkholderia RNA 7 (anti-hemB)". It matches the Rfam family "Burkholderia RNA 7 (anti-hemB)". From Rfam's summary of the family: This RNA motif was identified by computational search in b-proteobacteria Burkholderia. Co-purified with Hfq, expression confirmed by Northern blot. The record is from Rfam by way of RNAcentral. Lineage: Bacteria; Pseudomonadati; Pseudomonadota; Betaproteobacteria; Nitrosomonadales; Sterolibacteriaceae.
UCUCCCGCUUCACCUCCCUGAGCGGGUGCCUUGAACAUUUCAAGGUGUUUCCGCCCUCGACCUUCCUCCCCUUUGGUCGAGGGCUUUUAUUU